UACAGAGGUCUCAAGCGUUGUUCGGAUUCAUUAGGCGUAAAGGGUGCGUAGGUGGUGAUGCAAGUCUGGUGUGAAAUCUCGGAGCUCAACUCCGAAAUUGCACCGGAUACUGCGUGACUCGAGGACUGUAGAGGAGAUCGGAAUUCACGGUGUAGCAGUGAAAUGCGUAGAGAUCGUAAGGAAGACCAGUGGCGAAGGCGAGUUUCUGGACGGUAACUGACGCUGAGGCACGAAGGCCAGGGGAGCAAACGGG
Molecule: ribosomal RNA, 253 nt
Filed under: uncultured bacterium
Lineage: Bacteria
Description: partial 16S ribosomal RNA
Rfam family: Bacterial small subunit ribosomal RNA
Source: RNAcentral